RNAcentral lists this ribosomal RNA (781 nucleotides) under Enterococcus italicus. RNAcentral's name for it is "bacterial SSU rRNA". It matches the Rfam family "Bacterial small subunit ribosomal RNA", at positions 305 to 1040 of the family's 1533-position model. The record is from RNAcentral. Lineage: Bacteria; Bacillati; Bacillota; Bacilli; Lactobacillales; Enterococcaceae.
CGGCCACACUGGGACUGAGACACGGCCCAGACUCCUACCGGAGGCAGCAGUAGGGAAUCUUCGGCAAUGGACGAAAGUCUGACCGAGCAACGCCCCGCGAGUGAAGAAGGUUUUCGGAUCGUAAAACUCUCUUGUUAGAGAAGAACAAGGAUGAGAAGAGAAUGUUCAUCCCUUGACGGUUCUAACCAGAAAGCCACGGCUAACUACUUGCCAGCAGCCGCGGUAAUACUUAGGUGGCAAGCGUUGUCCGGAUUUAUUGGGCGUAAAGCGAGCGCAGGCGGUUCUUUAAGUCUGAUGUGAAAGCCCCCGGCUCAACCGGGGAGGGUCAUUGGAAACUGGGGAACUUGAGUGCAGAAGAGGAGAGUGGAAUUCCUUGUGUAGCGGUGAAAUGCGUAGAUAUAUGGAGGGAACACCAGUGGCGAAGGCGGCUCUCUGGUCUUUAACUGACGCUGAGGAUCCAAAGCGUGGGGGAGGCAGAACAGGAUUAAAUACCCUGGUAGUCCACCCCCCUACACGAUGAUUGCUACUUGUUGGUAGGGGUUCCUCCCCUUCCAUCGCUGCAGCUAAACGCAUUAAGCCACUCCUCCCGGGGGGAGGACGGACCCGCUGGGUUGAAACAUCACAAGAAAGUUGAAUGGGGGCCCCCCCCAACCCGGUGGGAUCCAUGAGAUUUAAUUCUAAUCAACAGCGCAGGAACCCUACCCCGUCCUGGACUGCCGUUUGUCCGACUCUAAAAGUUAGACCUUUUCCCGUUUCCUACACCACAAGGACGACGGUGGUG